Molecule: ribosomal RNA, 200 nt
Filed under: uncultured bacterium
Lineage: Bacteria
Description: partial 16S ribosomal RNA
Rfam family: Bacterial small subunit ribosomal RNA
Source: RNAcentral
AGAGUUUGAUCCUGGCUCAGAGCGAACGCUGGCGGCAUGCUUAACACAUGCAAGUCGCACGGUCAGCAAUGGCAGUGGCGGACGGGUGAGUAACGCGUAGGUAUCUGUCCAUGGGUGGGGGAUAACGGCGGGAAACUGCUGCUAAUACCGCAUGACACCUGAGGGUCAAAGGCGCAAGUCGCCUGUGGAGGAGCCUGCGU